UACGGAGGGUGCAAGCGUUAUCCGGAUUCACUGGGUUUAAAGGGUGCGUAGGUGGGUUGGUAAGUCAGUGGUGAAAUCUCCAGGCUUAACUUGGAAACUGCCAUUGAUACUAUCAAUCUUGAAUACCGUGGAGGUCAGCGGAAUAUGUCAUGUAGCGGUGAAAUGCUUAGAGAUGACAUAGAACACCAAUUGCGAAGGCAGCUGGCUACACGAAUAUUGACACUGAUGCACGAAAGCGUGGGGAGCGAACAGG
This 253-nucleotide ribosomal RNA is filed under the name uncultured bacterium. Its description in RNAcentral is "partial 16S ribosomal RNA". It matches the Rfam family "Bacterial small subunit ribosomal RNA", at positions 524 to 776 of the family's 1533-position model. The record is from RNAcentral.